GCGGGAGUAGUUUAAUAAAAAUGGUACGUUGUGGGUGUACCGUUAGGCUUAAUGGCUUUUCUCGUA
RNAcentral lists this transfer RNA (66 nucleotides) under Iridona iridescens. RNAcentral describes it as "Moerella iridescens tRNA-His". Lineage: Eukaryota; Metazoa; Mollusca; Bivalvia; Cardiida; Tellinidae. The record is from RNAcentral.